Molecule: small nuclear RNA, 316 nt
Filed under: Castor canadensis (American beaver)
Lineage: Eukaryota; Metazoa; Chordata; Mammalia; Rodentia; Castoridae
Description: 7SK RNA (ENSCCNG00000008543.1)
Rfam family: 7SK RNA
About the family: 7SK was discovered as an abundant small nuclear RNA in the mid-70s but a possible function has only recently been suggested. Two independent studies have found that 7SK RNA binds the CDK9/cyclin T complex (known as elongation factor P-TEFb).
Source: Rfam by way of RNAcentral
GGAGUGGGACGAUCUGACUGUGACGUCUGACACCACCAUUGAUCGCCAGGGUUGAUUCAGCUGACCUGGCUGGCUAGGCAGGUGUGCCUUUCCUCCCUCAUGCUCCACGUGCAUUCCCUCCGAAGCUGUGCACUGGGUUGAAGAGGAUGACCAUCAGCGAUGGAGGAGCACUGUUCUUCUGUCAAGGGUGUGUAAGUAGCUGUGCUCCCCUGCUAAAACCUCCAUCCAAGCUCUCAAGAAGAGGAGUGGGAGAAAAGGGAGAUUGUUGGAGGGAAUGAACCAAACAUGGAUACAAUAUAUGUAUGUAUGGAAAUGU